UACGUAGGAGGCAAGCGUUGUCCGGAAUUACUGGGCGUAAAGCGCGUGUAGGUGGUGGGACAAGUCUGCUGUGAAAGCGCCUGGCUUAACCGGGCGAGGUCGGCGGAAACUGUCCGACUCGAGGACGGUAGAGGGGGGUGGAAUUCCCGGUGUAGUGGUGAAAUGCGUAGAGAUCGGGAGGAACACCAGUGGCGAAGGCGGCCCUCUGGGCCGGGCCUGACGCUGAGACGCGAGGGCGUGGGGAGCGAACGGG
Molecule: ribosomal RNA, 253 nt
Filed under: uncultured bacterium
Lineage: Bacteria
Description: partial 16S ribosomal RNA
Rfam family: Bacterial small subunit ribosomal RNA
Source: RNAcentral